AGCAAAGAGCACGUGCCUACCUACCCACUAACACCCUUGCUGAUUAAGGCAGCCACCCCAAAGCAGCCCAUGUCAACCCAAGAAAGGCAUCACUCCUCCCCCUCUUCCCAGCUCACCUGUGACCUCCCUCUGGUGCGAGUUGAUCUCUUGUCUCCCCUUGGCAGAAACCUCAGCUGGAGAAGCUCCUGUGCCAAGUGUGCCAGGCAAUUCAGGCUGCUUUACUUCAGAGCUGGAGCUAACAGGUAUAUUAGCAAAAGCAGCAACUAAAAGUCAGCAGACAGAUGCAUUGCCUCUAGCUACUAAGAUACCAUUGAAGAUCUACUGCUUGACAUCUGUGUCCAUAGGAAGUCCUUUGCUUUGGAUAUUGAAGCAGAUGCCAGGCCUUCUUGGAUCUUUGACAAGAAAGGAGACCUUUAUACUUGGCUGGUUCCUAUGUCUUAGAUGCACUUCCUUAUCAUCUGGUCUAUGCAGCAAUUUACUGCUUCAUAAGAGGUGAUAGCACCAAUAAGUCAAGAAGCUCUUUGUUUUGUCUUUCUCUGUGGGUUGAAUGUCACGUGAAACCUGCCAUGGUCUGCAUUCUUGGCAGAGCAAUUUUCAGUGCUGUCAAGAGGAUAGGAGCAAGGAGAGCAUUUACUUGUAAAGAGGCACGCAUAAGAAUUAACCUCAGAGGAAUUACCUGUUUUGUCUACACUAUGGAGAAGGAGCAUGGUGAAAAGGAUGGCUUGCAAAGUACAACUGAAUUAACGAUGGACAAAUUUUUCAUCAGUGAAAGGCUUUGCCUGUCAAAUGAUUAUCACUAUAUCUAAAUAUGAGGUGCUACCUUGCAGUAAAAAGUUCAUUCCCAUCUGUACUUACAGACCAGCACAAGAUCCAGGAGCCAUUUUGAUCUCUGUGAUGAUCAACACAAAGAACACAACAUCUCAUCCAGCAUCAUCAGAAGCACUAAACCAGACAGAGUUCCCCAUCAGCCCAUACCAAGUCACCUCAGACAAGGCUGAACAAAAGGUCUUCAGUAGGUGGUUCAGGUUUGGAAUACAAUUAGCAAUCUGUUCAAAAACACAAAGCUAAGAAUAAAAGAAGAGGCGAUUAAGGUUACA
RNAcentral lists this long non-coding RNA (1097 nucleotides) under Numida meleagris (helmeted guineafowl). RNAcentral describes it as "lncRNA (ENSNMEG00000020151.1)". The record is from RNAcentral. Lineage: Eukaryota; Metazoa; Chordata; Aves; Galliformes; Numididae.